Long non-coding RNA from Mauremys reevesii (Reeves's turtle), 1278 nucleotides. RefSeq lists it as uncharacterized. The transcript has 4 exons. The record is from RefSeq and is a predicted model, not a curated record. Lineage: Eukaryota; Metazoa; Chordata; Testudines; Geoemydidae.
CGGAGGGCAGUGGCCUCGAAGAGGGUGCCACCGAGCACGCAGCAACGCGGGUCCGGAGACAGCAACGGAGGACAGAACGACGGACGGGACACCACCAGGAGGAGGCGCUCCACUGGAACGAGCUAAUUCCCAGAGUCACCAGCAGGAGGCGCCGCUGGGAAUCACAUGAUGCUGGGAAUGAAAGUAAUCUUAAGAAACAGUGACUGACCUUGGCAUUUCAAUUGAUUUUCUUGGAUUGAAUGAAAGUACAAAGAGUAAACAAAAGAGAUAUCACCUAAAACAUUCAUUUGGUAAUUGUAUGGAAGUUAAAAACUAUCGGGUUGGGUUUUAUUUUUAGGCAUUUAAUGAAUCACCUGGGGACCUAUUUUAUUGCAUUUUAGCAAGAGUGGACUUGAAACCUACAAAAGUUUGUUCAUUUGGACUUUGUUCCCUCCUAUUAUUAUUCAUGACUGUCAGAGAAAGCCACUGAAUGGACCAGGAUUUACUUCUGUAGAUGAAACCAAGGAGACUAAACUGUUGUGUGCCAGAGACAGAGAACAAGAUAGAUCAAGAUGGCACAAAUGCCUGGAAACCCUGCAACAGCAGGGAAUUGAUUAGCUACAAUAUGCUCAGAUGAUCCUUGAAGAUAAGCCAUCUUCCAUGCUGCAGAAGAAGGAGAAAAAUUCACCAAAUCCUUGCCAAUCUGACCUGAGGAAAAACCUUCCUGACCCCCAAAGUGGCACUCAAUUUCACCCUAAGCAUGUGAGCAAGACAUAUCAGCCAGGCACCUCUGUACUACCUCAGAGCACAGGUCCACCCUAUUAGAUGACCCAUCUCCAGCUGUGGCCAACCCCUGAUGUUUCAGAAGUAGCCAAAAAAAAAACCCAGAAUACAUCUAGCCAACAGUUUAUUAGGGAAAAAUAUUCUUCUCUGACCCUUAAAGGUGACUGCUUGAAGCCCUGAAGCAUGAGAUUUAAUUACAGUCAUUGUCUUAAUGCAGAGCUGGAAGUGUUAUGAGCAAGUAGAGGGCAAUGUACAGCUUCUUGUUCUCUCUGUGCCCCAUGAAGGAAGAGAAUGAACAAAUGGAUUCAUAGAUUCACAGAUUCUAAAGAUGAGAAGAGACCACUGACCGUUCGCCUGAUCUUCUGCACACACAGGCUGUAGGAUUUCUCCAAGAAGCUGGAUUAAAGCUUUUUUAGAAAGAUGUUUAAUCUCUUUUAAAAGACUCCAAGUGAUGCAAUUCUUCAAUCAGCCCUCUCCUGAGGUGAUGAAAUAUAUAGGUUUUCCUGAGACAGUGAG